Molecule: ribosomal RNA, 1297 nt
Filed under: metagenome
Description: bacterial LSU rRNA
Rfam family: Bacterial large subunit ribosomal RNA
Source: RNAcentral
UAUACGACCGUACCGCAAACCGACACUGGUGCGCGAGAUGAGUAUUCUAAGGCGCUUGAGAGAACUCAGGAGAAGGAACUCGGCAAAUUGACACCGUAACUUCGGAAGAAGGUGUGCCCUAUUAGUGUGUAGUGAACAACGGAGCAUGAAUGGGUUGCAAAAAAUCGGUGGCUGCGACUGUUUAUUAAAAACACAGCACUCUGCAAACACGAAAGUGGACGUAUAGGGUGUGACGCCUGCCCGGUGCUGGAAGAUUAAAUGAUGGGGUGCAAGCUCUUGAUUGAAGUCCCAGUAAACGGCGGCCGUAACAAUAACGGUCCUAAGGUAGCGAAAUUCCUUGUCGGGUAAGUUCCGACCUGCACGAAUGGCGUAACGAUGGCCACACUGUCUCCUCCUGAGACUCAGCGAAGUUGAAAUGUUUGUGAUGAUGCAAUCUCCCCGCGGAAAGACGGAAAGACCCCAUGAACCUUUACUGUAGCUUUGUAUUGGACUUUGAACAGAUCUGUGUAGGAUAGGUGGGAGGCUUUGAAGCAGGGUCGCUAGAUCUUGUGGAGCCAACGUUGAAAUACCACCCUGGUGUGUUUGAGGUUCUAACCUAGGUCCAUUAUCUGGAUCGGGGACAGUGCAUGGUAGGCAGUUUGACUGGGGCGGUCUCCUCCCAAAGCGUAACGGAGGAGUUCGAAGGUACGCUAGUUACGGUCGGACAUCGUGACGAUAGUGCAAUGGCAUAAGCGUGCUUAACUGCGAGACUGACAAGUCGAGCAGAUGCGAAAGCAGGACAUAGUGAUCCGGUGGUUCUGUAUGGAAGGGCCAUCGCUCAACGGAUAAAAGGUACUCUGGGGAUAACAGGCUGAUACCGCCCAAGAGUUCAUAUCGACGGCGGUGUUUGGCACCUCGAUGUCGGCUCAUCUCAUCCUGGGGCUGUAGCCGGUCCCAAGGGUAUGGCUGUUCGCCAUUUAAAGAGGUACGUGAGCUGGGUUUAAAACGUCGUGAGACAGUUUGGUCCCUAUCUUCCGUGGGCGCUGCAGAUUUGAGGAAGCCUGCUCCUAGUACGAGAGGACCGGAGUGGACACACCUCUGGUGUAUCGGUUGUCACGCCAGUGGCAUUGCCGAGUAGCUAAGUGUGGAAGAGAUAACCGCUGAAAGCAUCUAAGCGGGAAACUCGUUUCAAGAUGAGAUCUGCCGGGGCCUUGAGCCCCCUAAAGAGUCGUUCAAGACCAGGACGUUGAUAGGUCAGGUGUGGAAGCGCAGUAAUGUGUUAACCUAACUGAUACUAAUUGCUCGUGCGGCUUGACCU